AGGUGAUGCGAGUGAAGGGUGAGUUGCUGCUGUUGGUGUUGGUGGGGGGGGAGAGCCAGGGAGAGAGUUGAGGAGUUCGCGUCCCGAGUUCCACGGAGGCGAGAUGUACAGCGCUCAUGAGUUGACGCGCCUGGUGGGCCUGGAUACAGACUUUGAACUCCAGAGAUUCUCGGACGAGGUGGAUUUAUACGGCAGCGGCUUUCGCCGAUCGAGUGAUCGGGCCUCCCUGCGCCAGCGUCCUCUCUGUGGGACAUGGCUAGUGGCUGGCUCCCCACCACCUGGAGUUAUCCCACACACUCCCCACGUACACCACCACUAAUGCGGGGGUAGCUGCGUGUGCGCGCCCCCCCCUCCCUGCUCACCACGGCACGCGCUAAAAAUAUCCGUAUGAAUAUGCACGCGUCCCACCUCGGGCUUUAAUCCGCUGUGCAAACAUGCACGGCGGGCAAAACGCCGGCCGGGUUGACGAAAAUAUUCGCGCGUUCCACCGCCAAGUGGCUAUCGUCGCUACGUGAAACACACUGCGUAAAACGCGCUGUGUAAACACGCAUGCGAACGAGGUUUUAACUCAACCCUCCCUCGCCUUAUUUCUCGCGUGCCUCCCACACACCCGCUCGAAUUACGUGUGCGUUCGUGUGGGGGGUGGGGGUGGGUGCUAGGGGAUAGCAGCUCUGGCAGAGUUUGCUCCGUUCCUGUGACACCACGCAGGCCCCUGAACACUGGAAGCACGGAGCAGCCGUCAGUGUCACCUUGCGGCAUCUUUUUCCUCGAUCUGUACACAGCCAUCUUCGCCCGAGCACAGGCGAAGUUGGCGAGAGGGAGACAGACACACACAGAGAGACAGAGAGAGGCACACAGAGAGACAGAGAGAGACAGAGAGAGAGACAGAGAGAGACACACAGAGAGACAGAGAGAGA
Molecule: non-coding RNA, 917 nt
Organism: Petromyzon marinus (sea lamprey)
Lineage: Eukaryota; Metazoa; Chordata; Hyperoartia; Petromyzontiformes; Petromyzontidae
Source: RefSeq, a predicted model, not a curated record